AAUUCUGGAAAAUAUUAUAUUAUUUUAUAAUCCGAAAUUAUUAAAAUAUUAUUAUUAAAAAAAAAAAAUCGGAAAAAUUAUUUUUGACCCCGGUUGCUCAGAAUUUCGUGCCGAUCGCUGUUGUGUAGUCGGAUUUUGAAAUUGAUGAUUGGAUAUUCUAAAUUGAGUGUGGAUUGUGAAAAAUAUGAAUAUUAUUAUUUAAUUAUUUUCGGAAUAAAUUUAAUUAUUUAAUAAAUUCCGAAAAUUUUGUCAGGACCCUAAACUCUCAGAAUUUCGUGCCGAUCGUUGCUGUGCAUUUAGAAUUUGAAAUUGAUGAUUGGUUAUGAUGAAUUGAGUGUGAUUGUGAUUUAUAGGGAUUCUUUACGAAAUCCUAAGUGUAGAAAUUGAUGGGAGAUUGGCUGUGAAAUACCACCUAUUAGAGGUCGUGCCCAGAGAGGCCGUGAUAAACCACCUUGGAAAGGUCGUGCCCGAUGAGGCCGUGAAAAACCACCUACAAGAGGUCGUGCCCGAUGAGGCCGUGAAAUACCACCUAUGAAAGGUCGUGCCCAGAGAGGCCGUGAUAAACCACCUAUGAAAGGUCGUGCCCAGAGAGGCCGUGAUAAACCACCUGUGAAAGGUCGUGCCCAGAGAGGCCGUGAUGAACCACCUCUGAGAGGUCGUGCCUAGAGAGGCCGUGAUAAACCACCUUGGAAAGGUCGUGCCCGAUGAGGCCGUGAAAGACCACCUACAAGAGGUCGUGCCCAGUGGGGCCGUGAAUUGCCACCUGUUAAAGGUCGCGCCGAGUGGGGCCGUGAUGCCACUGAUUUAAAUUUGCCGAGUAGGGCCGUAGUUGAGAGCAACGAUUGAUUUGCUAGAAUGACAUGUAAUCGGCCGAGUCGAUUGAUCGCUGAGACGAUCCAAGUGGUUGAAUGGUUUGAUAAUGUGAUUGUGCCAUGGUUGUUUGGUUAUCAUAAUUGCACGUGGUUGGUUUAUAUAAAUUGUGCUAACCUGCAGAUAAAGGCAGAGGCGAGGUAAGUCUUCUGUGUGAUGUGGCUAGGCCACCAUUUGGCGUAUUUUCUUUCUAAUAGGGGUUUAGGGGGUUGAACUUGCUGAGACGUUGUCUCAGUGGUUAUUGAAUAACCAUUUCAGGUCCCUGGUGGACGGAGCGGCCAUAUAGCUUUGGUUGGCCUUGAGGAGUUGCAGAGGUGAAGUCAUAAGGGUUGAAGAGCGUGUCCUGCUAGUUGGUUGUAGGAUAAUCCCCCUUUUGUCGAGCUGGUCUAUUUUGUAGAAAGUCCAGUGUUGUAUUUAAACCCCUUUUGUGUUUGUAAAUGAGUGUUUGGUAUUGUGAUUGAUUGCCUGCUUUUCUAUCCCAAGUUAAAUGUUGUCAAGGGAUUUGUUUCGCUUCCGCAUGCGUAAAGAAAUGAAUGGGUCGGCGACAUAUCCUGGGAUGUCGCAUUUUUGAUCGACCGCAGUGGGAUGUGCGCGCGCUCGGGGUUUGGGGCGUGACA
This 1487-nucleotide long non-coding RNA is filed under the name Eucalyptus grandis. RNAcentral's name for it is "long non-coding RNA (EGRA_LNC001712)". The record is from RNAcentral. Lineage: Eukaryota; Viridiplantae; Streptophyta; Magnoliopsida; Myrtales; Myrtaceae.